AGCGUACACGGUGGAUGCCCUGGCAGUCAGAGGCGAUGAAGGACGUGCUAAUCUGCGAUAAGCGUCGGUGAGGUGAUAUGAACCGUUAUAACCGGCGAUUUCCGAAUGGGGAAACCCAGUGUGUUUCGACACACUAUCAUUAACUGAAUCCAUAGGUUAAUGAGGCGAACCGGGGGAACUGAAACAUCUAAGUACCCCGAGGAAAAGAAAUCAACCGAGAUUCCCCCAGUAGCGGCGAGCGAACGGGGAGGAGCCCAGAGCCUGAAUCAGUGUGUGUGUUAGUGGAAGCGUCUGGAAAGUCGCGCGAUACAGGGUGACAGCCCCGUACACAAAAAUGCACAUACUGUGAGCUCGAUGAGUAGGGCGGGACACGUGGUAUCCUGUCUGAAUAUGGGGGGACCAUCCUCCAAGGCUAAAUACUCCUGACUGACCGAUAGUGAACCAGUACCGUGAGGGAAAGGCGAAAAGAACCCCGGCGAGGGGAGUGAAAAAGAACCUGAAACCGUGUACGUACAAGCAGUGGGAGCCUCUUAAUGGGGUGACUGCGUACCUUUUGUAUAAUGGGUCAGCGACUUAUAUUCUGUAGCAAGGUUAACCGAAUAGGGGAGCCGAAGGGAAACCGAGUCUUAACUGGGCGUUAAGUUGCAGGGUAUAGACCCGAAACCCGGUGAUCUAGCCAUGGGCAGGUUGAAGGUUGGGUAACACUAACUGGAGGACCGAACCGACUAAUGUUGAAAAAUUAGCGGAUGACUUGUGGCUGGGGGUGAAAGGCCAAUCAAACCGGGAGAUAGCUGGUUCUCCCCGAAAGCUAUUUAGGUAGCGCCUCGUGAAUUCAUCUCCGGGGGUAGAGCACUGUUUCGGCAAGGGGGUCAUCCCGACUUACCAACCCGAUGCAAACUGCGAAUACCGGAGAAUGUUAUCACGGGAGACACACGGCGGGUGCUAACGUCCGUCGUGAAGAGGGAAACAACCCAGACCGCCAGCUAAGGUCCCAAAGUCAUGGUUAAGUGGGAAACGAUGUGGGAAGGCCCAGACAGCCAGGAUGUUGGCUUAGAAGCAGCCAUCAUUUAAAGAAAGCGUAAUAGCUCACUGGUCGAGUCGGCCUGCGCGGAAGAUGUAACGGGGCUAAACCAUGCACCGAAGCUGCGGCAGCGACACUAUGUGUUGUUGGGUAGGGGAGCGUUCUGUAAGCCUGUGAAGGUGUACUGUGAGGUAUGCUGGAGGUAUCAGAAGUGCGAAUGCUGACAUAAGUAACGAUAAAGCGGGUGAAAAGCCCGCUCGCCGGAAGACCAAGGGUUCCUGUCCAACGUUAAUCGGGGCAGGGUGAGUCGACCCCUAAGGCGAGGCCGAAAGGCGUAGUCGAUGGGAAACAGGUUAAUAUUCCUGUACUUGGUGUUACUGCGAAGGGGGGACGGAGAAGGCUAUGUUGGCCGGGCGACGGUUGUCCCGGUUUAAGCGUGUAGGCUGGUUUUCCAGGCAAAUCCGGAAAAUCAAGGCUGAGGCGUGAUGACGAGGCACUACGGUGCUGAAGCGACAAAUGCCCUGCUUCCAGGAAAAGCCUCUAAGCAUCAGGUAACAUUAAAUCGUACCCCAAACCGACACAGGUGGUCAGGUAGAGAAUACCAAGGCGCUUGAGAGAACUCGGGUGAAGGAACUAGGCAAAAUGGUGCCGUAACUUCGGGAGAAGGCACGCUGAUAUGUAGGUGAAGCGACUUGCUCGUGGAGCUGAAAUCAGUCGAAGAUACCAGCUGGCUGCAACUGUUUAUUAAAAACACAGCACUGUGCAAACACGAAAGUGGACGUAUACGGUGUGACGCCUGCCCGGUGCCGGAAGGUUAAUUGAUGGGGUUAGCGGUAACGCGAAGCUCUUGAUCGAAGCCCCGGUAAACGGCGGCCGUAACUAUAACGGUCCUAAGGUAGCGAAAUUCCUUGUCGGGUAAGUUCCGACCUGCACGAAUGGCGUAAUGAUGGCCAGGCUGUCUCCACCCGAGACUCAGUGAAAUUGAACUCGCUGUGAAGAUGCAGUGUACCCGCGGCAAGACGGAAAGACCCCGUGAACCUUUACUAUAGCUUGACACUGAACAUUGAGCCUUGAUGUGUAGGAUAGGUGGGAGGCUUUGAAGUGUGGACGCCAGUCUGCAUGGAGCCGACCUUGAAAUACCACCCUUUAAUGUUUGAUGUUCUAACGUGGGCCCCUUACCGGGGUUGCGGACAGUGUCUGGUGGGUAGUUUGACUGGGGCGGUCUCCUCCUAAAGAGUAACGGAGGAGCACGAAGGUUGGCUAAUCCUGGUCGGACAUCAGGAGGUUAGUGCAAUGGCAUAAGCCAGCUUGACUGCGAGCGUGACGGCGCGAGCAGGUGCGAAAGCAGGUCAUAGUGAUCCGGUGGUUCUGAAUGGAAGGGCCAUCGCUCAACGGAUAAAAGGUACUCCGGGGAUAACAGGCUGAUACCGCCCAAGAGUUCAUAUCGACGGCGGUGUUUGGCACCUCGAUGUCGGCUCAUCACAUCCUGGGGCUGAAGUAGGUCCCAAGGGUAUGGCUGUUCGCCAUUUAAAGUGGUACGCGAGCUGGGUUUAGAACGUCGUGAGACAGUUCGGUCCCUAUCUGCCGUGGGCGCUGGAUACUUGAGGGGGGCUGCUCCUAGUACGAGAGGACCGGAGUGGACGCAUCACUGGUGUUCGGGUUGUCAUGCCAAUGGCACUGCCCGGUAGCUAA
Molecule: ribosomal RNA, 2713 nt
Filed under: human gut metagenome
Description: bacterial LSU rRNA
Rfam family: Bacterial large subunit ribosomal RNA
Source: RNAcentral